AUGCCAGCAGCCGCGGUACUACCGGCAGCCCGAGUGAUGGCCGAUCUUAUUGGGCCUAAAGCGUCCGUAGCUGGGUCUGAAAGUCCGUCGGGAAAUCCACUCGCCCAACGAGUGGGCGUCCGACGGAAACUGCACAGCUUGGGACCGGAAGGCUCGAAGGGUACGGCCGGGGUAGGAGUGAAAUCCUGUAAUCCCGUCCGGACCACCGAUGGCGAAAGCACUUCGAGAAAACGGAUCCGACAGUGAGGGACGAAAGCUAAGAUCGCGAACCGGAUUAGAUACCCCGGUAGUCC
Molecule: ribosomal RNA, 293 nt
Filed under: uncultured bacterium
Lineage: Bacteria
Description: partial 16S ribosomal RNA
Rfam family: Archaeal small subunit ribosomal RNA
Source: RNAcentral